RNAcentral lists this ribosomal RNA (519 nucleotides) under Streptomyces sp. RNAcentral describes it as "bacterial SSU rRNA". It matches the Rfam family "Bacterial small subunit ribosomal RNA", at positions 81 to 616 of the family's 1533-position model. Lineage: Bacteria; Bacillati; Actinomycetota; Actinomycetes; Kitasatosporales; Streptomycetaceae. The record is from RNAcentral.
UUCGGGGUGGAAUAGUGGCGAACGGGUGAGUAAAGUGGGCAAUCUGCCCUUCACUCUGGGACAAGCCCUGGAAACGGGGUCUAAUACCGGAUAUGACCGUCUUGGGCAUCCUUGACGGUGUAAAGCUCCGGCGGUGAAGGAUGAGCCCGCGGCCUAUCAGCUUGUUGGUGAGGUAAUGGCUCACCAAGGCGACGACGGGUAGCCGGCCUGAGAGGGCGACCGGCCACACUGGGACUGAGACACGGCCCAGACUCCUACGGGAGGCAGGAGUGGGGAAUAUUGCACAAUGGGCGAAAGCCUGAUGCAGCGACGCCGCGUGAGGGAUGACGGCCUUCGGGUUGUAAACCUCUUUCAGCAGGGAAGAAGCGCAAGUGACGGUACCUGCAGAAGAAGCGCCGGCUAACUACGUGCCAGCAGCCGCGGUAAUACGUAGGGCGCAAGCGUUGUCCGGAAUUAUUGGGCGUAAAGAGCUCGUAGGCGGCUUGUCACGUCGGGUGUGAAAGCCCGGGGCUUAACCUC